This is a long non-coding RNA of Haliotis rubra (blacklip abalone), 344 nucleotides long. RefSeq lists it as uncharacterized. NCBI's taxonomy places the organism in Eukaryota, Metazoa, Mollusca, Gastropoda, Lepetellida, Haliotidae. The record is from RefSeq and is a predicted model, not a curated record. The transcript is spliced from 3 exons.
UCAACUGCAACAGAAUCGAAUGCAUCAACAAGACAGGUGGAGAUUUACAAAACAAAUUCAAGUUUCCAGUAGACAUUAGUUCGUUCGAUGUCAUUGACGAUGACAGGCUAGUAUUUUGCGAUAACGCUGGAGGUCUGUGGAUCCACAACGCUGCUACCGGAUGCUCCAAGCUGCUCAGCUGUAAAGCCAAUGCAUGUGGGGACGUAAGGAUCAACUCUUGUACGUCGCUUAUUUACGCUGUCUACCCAAAUGAUGCAAAUCUCGACAUCUUCAACUCCACCACCUGUGAUAGUGUGGGAACGUUGCCGUACACAGGAUCUGUUCCCACUGGUUCUCCGAGCCUU